GCUGUUUCGCGUCCGGCCUGAGGCGGCUGGGGCCGCGCAGGUAGUGUCCCUGCACUUCUUGCCCGGGCGCGUGAGGCCAGCUCCGCUGCGCUGGCCUCCAGUUUCCAGCCCUCCUCCCCUAAGCCGCCGCCAUCAUGCUGCUGCCUGUGUUCACCCUGAAACUGCGCCACAAAAUCAGCCCCCGAAUGGUGGCCAUAGGGCGCUACGACGGGACUCACCCGUGCCUGGCGGCCGCCACCCAAACGGGCAAGGUUUUUAUUCAUAAUCCUCAUACACGGAACCAGCAUGUCAGUGCAUCCAGGGUCUUCCAGAGCCCCCUGGAAUCUGAUGUUUCUCUUCUCAACAUUAACCAGGCAGUCAGCUGUCUGACUGCAGGCGUAUUGAACCCUGAGCUUGGCUAUGAUGCCCUUUUAGUGGGGACACAGACUAAUCUUUUGGCUUAUGAUGUCUACAAUAAUUCGGAUUUGUUCUACAGAGAGGUAGCAGAUGGGGCAAAUGCAAUUGUGCUGGGGACAUUGGGAGACAUUUCUUCCCCUCUUGCGAUUAUUGGUGGCAAUUGUGCUCUGCAAGGUUUCAAUCAUGAAGGAAGUGAUCUCUUUUGGACGGUUACUGGAGACAAUGUUAAUUCCUUGGCCUUGUGUGACUUUGAUGGUGAUGGAAAGAAAGAGCUUCUUGUUGGAUCUGAGGAUUUUGAUAUCCGAGUUUUUAAGGAAGAUGAGAUUGUGGCAGAAAUGACAGAAACAGAGAUAGUCACCUCUCUUUGUCCCAUGUAUGGCAGUCGGUUUGGUUAUGCCCUUUCCAAUGGCACAGUUGGAGUUUAUGACAAAACAUCCCGAUACUGGAGAAUUAAAUCGAAAAAUCAUGCCAUGAGCAUUCAUGCUUUUGACCUUAAUUCUGAUGGAGUGAAUGAACUGAUAACUGGUUGGUCCAAUGGGAAGGUUGAUGCUCGAAGUGACCGAACUGGGGAGGUCAUCUUUAAGGACAAUUUUUCUUCUGCAAUUGCCGGUGUGGUAGAGGGAGAUUACCGGAUGGAUGGCCACAUACAGUUAAUCUGCUGCUCAGUGGAUGGGGAAAGUAAAUUGGGAUGAGAAAAAUCCUUAAAAAGUCACAUUUUCCAUUUGAUUGGGUCAAAAUAUCAGGAAAUUUCACCUGAAGUAUUUGUACCGAGAUCCUGUAGUUCUAAUAAAUUCACCAAAGUUGGGGAGAACUUAGGUUUUUGUUUUUAAGAGCAGGUAAUUGAUGACCUAAAAGUAUACCUGGUUAUACUUGGGGUUUUUUCCUUCUGUUCAGUCCGGGGCUACCUGCCUGGCACGGCUGAGAUGAGGGGGAACCUCAUGGACACCAGUGCAGAGCAGGACCUGAUCCGAGAGCUGAGUCAGAAGAAGCAGAAUCUGUUGCUGGAACUCCGUAACUAUGAGGAAAACACCAAGGCUGAAUUGGCCAGUCCACUGAACGAGGCUGAUGGGCAUCGGGGCAUAAUCCCAGCCAAUACCAGGCUCCACACCACGCUCUCAGUCAGCCUGGG
Molecule: small RNA, 1525 nt
Filed under: Pan troglodytes (chimpanzee)
Lineage: Eukaryota; Metazoa; Chordata; Mammalia; Primates; Hominidae
Description: retained intron
Source: RNAcentral